RNAcentral lists this ribosomal RNA (440 nucleotides) under uncultured bacterium. RNAcentral's name for it is "partial 16S ribosomal RNA". It matches the Rfam family "Bacterial small subunit ribosomal RNA", at positions 338 to 795 of the family's 1533-position model. The record is from RNAcentral.
CCUACGGGUGGCAGCAGUAGGGAAUAUUGCUCAAUGGGGGAAACCCUGAAGCAGCAACGCCGCGUGGAGGAUGAAGGUUUUAGGCUUGUAAACUCCUUUUGUUAGAGAAGAUUAUGACGGUAUCUGACGAAUAAGCACCGGCUAACUCCGUGCCAGCAGCCGCGGUAAUACGGAGGGUGCAAGCGUUACUCGGAAUCACUGGGCGUAAAGAGUGCGUAGGCGGGGUAAUAAGUCAGAUGUGAAAUCCUGUAGCUUAACUACAGAACUGCAGUUGAAACUGGUACUCUGGAGUGUGGGAGAGGUAGGUGGAAUUCGUGGUGUAGGGGUAAAAUGCGUAGAGAUUAAGAGGAAUACUCAUUGCGAAGGCGACCUGCUGGAACAUUACUGACGCUGAUGCACGAAAGCGUGGGGAGCAAACAGGAUUAGAUACCCCAGUAGUC